GUGGGGAAUAUUGGACAAUGGGCGAAAGCCUGAUCCAGCAAUGCCGCGUGAGUGAUGAAGGCCUUAGGGUUGUAAAGCUCUUUUACCCGGGAUGAUAAUGACAGUACCGGGAGAAUAAGCUCCGGCUAACUCCGUGCCAGCAGCCGCGGUAAUACGGAGGGAGCUAGCGUUAUUCGGAAUUACUGGGCGUAAAGCGCACGUAGGCGGCUUUGUAAGUUAGAGGUGAAAGCCUGGAGCUCAACUCCAGAAUUGCCUUUAAGACUGCAUCGCUUGAAUCCAGGAGAGGUGAGUGGAAUUCCGAGUGUAGAGGUGAAAUUCGUAGAUAUUCGGAAGAACACCAGUGGCGAAGGCGGCUCACUGGACUGGUAUUGACGCUGAGGUGCGAAAGCGUGGGGAGCAAACAGGAUUAGAUACCCUAGUAGUCC
RNAcentral lists this ribosomal RNA (425 nucleotides) under uncultured bacterium. Its description in RNAcentral is "partial 16S ribosomal RNA". It matches the Rfam family "Bacterial small subunit ribosomal RNA", at positions 354 to 796 of the family's 1533-position model. The record is from RNAcentral.